UACGUUCCCGGGCCUUGUACACACCGCCCGUCAAGCCAUGGAAGCUGGGGUGCCUGAAGUCGGUGACCCGCAAGGGAGCUGCCUAGGGUAAAACUGGUAACUGGGGCU
Molecule: ribosomal RNA, 108 nt
Filed under: uncultured bacterium
Lineage: Bacteria
Description: partial 16S ribosomal RNA
Rfam family: Bacterial small subunit ribosomal RNA
Source: RNAcentral